RNAcentral lists this transfer RNA (85 nucleotides) under Tistrella bauzanensis. RNAcentral's name for it is "tRNA-Leu". It matches the Rfam family "tRNA". From Rfam's summary of the family: Transfer RNA (tRNA) molecules are approximately 80 nucleotides in length. RNAcentral also lists the same sequence under 1 other name. The record is from RNAcentral. Lineage: Bacteria; Pseudomonadati; Pseudomonadota; Alphaproteobacteria; Geminicoccales; Geminicoccaceae.
GCGAGAGUGGCGGAAUCGGUAGACGCAGUCGACUCAAAAUCGACCGCCGAAAGGCUUGGGGGUUCGAGUCCCCCCUCUCGCACCA